ACUCGUGUGGCACUAUUUUUUAUUUAUCGACUUGGAAUUGUGAGAUUAAACCACCGAUGGUGCUAUUUAAGCAAAGCGCUCAAGGCAGUGAAUGAAAGGAGAAAAUUAAUUCACAGACUUAUGGUCUCAUGCAUGCAGGUUCGAUUCCAGUCUGAUCAUGAGUUGAAUGGGUAUUGUUAGAGCAGAAAGUGACUGCAAGAUUCGUACACGACAAUUUCUUCCUCACGACUUUGUCCUUCGUAAAAGAGCCCUC
Molecule: long non-coding RNA, 253 nt
Filed under: Phoenix dactylifera (date palm)
Lineage: Eukaryota; Viridiplantae; Streptophyta; Magnoliopsida; Arecales; Arecaceae
Description: long non-coding RNA (PDAC_LNC005352)
Source: RNAcentral